RNAcentral lists this ribosomal RNA (253 nucleotides) under uncultured bacterium. RNAcentral's name for it is "partial 16S ribosomal RNA". It matches the Rfam family "Bacterial small subunit ribosomal RNA", at positions 524 to 776 of the family's 1533-position model. The record is from RNAcentral.
UACGGGGGGAGCAAGCGUUGUUCGGAUUUACUGGGCGUAAAGGGCGCGUAGGCGGCGCAACAAGUCACUUGUGAAAUCUCCGGGCUUAACCCGGAGCGGCCAAGUGAUACUGUCGUGCUAGAGUGCGGAAGGGGCUACUGGAAUUCUCGGUGUAGCGGUGAAAUGCGUAGAUAUCAGGAGGAACACCAAUGGCGAAGGCAGCUCGCUGGGACGGUACUGACGCUGAGACGCGAAAGCGUGGGGAGCAAACAGG